UUUCAGGGUCAUGUAAUUGAAAAAAAUAAUAAGACCAAGAAUCAUUGAGGCCUUACACAAGUGAGAUUAUUGUAUGCACAUUAUUAUACUUGUCAGAGCCUCUUUUAAUCUCUACACAGAUAUUAUGUUCUUGUCACAGCCUAGCAUAAAUAGCAAACAUAAUGGGGGCAGGGAGGAAAACAAAGACAAUCACUGUUAGUGAGGACACCCCCUUUUUUACUGAGUCCAGCUGGUUAAGUUACAGAAAUUUGCCCGUGAAAGAGCUGGGCGGCGUUAUAUUCGGCUGUACACAUGAUACCUUUUCUGAGUGUCUCUCAAAGAAACUCUUUGGUUUGCCAUACGGGCACAUCUCCUAUGUUAAAAAAAUAAGCAUAGGUCUGCCCUUGUUUCUGUUCAAUUACAGUGAUCGUAAUCUUUAUGGUAUCUUUGAGGCAGCAAGCCAUGGCCAGACUUACCUCAAUGCCUCUGCAUGGACUGAUGGUGGGUCACAGACAACUCCCUUUCCUGCACAGGUUCGCGUGCGCACCAGGGUGGAAUGUCAAGCGCUUGUUGAGAAGCAGUUCAAGAAAAUAAUCGAAAAGAAUUAUUAUAAUAAUUCUAUGCACUUCUGGUUCGAGCUUGAUCAUGGGCAGACGAGAGAUUUGAUUGCAUUAUUCGAACCUUCUCGUCCUGCUGCCAGUACCACAUUGCGUCCAUUGAGAGAAAGUGAGAUUUUUCCAGUAUUACCAGCCACUACAAACAAAAAAGAACUUCCACAAUUAUUACCGGCCACCACUUGGAAGGACAUCGUCAACCAGAACCAUCUAAAGCAGUCGAACAAUUUAAGAAAUGAUAACAAGUUUGCAUCGCUCCUCUCAAACAAUGGAGAUUCUGAACAAGAUAGCUCAGUGAAAGCAUCAUCUUUGAGCAGUCUUGAGGAUAUGGAAUCUAAAAAGUCAGCGUCUGACUGGGAGGAGCAGGGAGAGGAUAGUGUGUUAGCUGUUAGUUCAAGUUCUAGCACUUUGUUUGAGAGAGCUAACCAUGUCUCUGAGAAACAACAGUUUACCGAGGCAUCAGAGUGUGAAGAAAAAAGAGUGUUGCAUAUGCUAGAAAAUUUAGCUGCAGAACGUGCACAAUCAAACUCAACUUACAGUAGUUCUAGUUGUGAUGAUCUUGUUUGUGCCCCUAGAGACGAGGUAUCUAUUACUGAAUCUUAUAUAAAUCAUGGAAGUACUCAUGACAUGGAAAAACCAUAUGCGCCCAACUUUAAUGGAAGUGUUGAUAUUGUAGAAUAUCCCAACACAUUUGACCUUAAUCAUGGAAAUAAUGAGCUGGUACAAUUUAUCAAAGAGGUAAAAGAAUGGUCUGCAGAUGUAAAGAAACAUCAGGCUAAGUCGGACCAGGAAAUUCAACAAUUGAGAAAUCAACUAUGGCACUCAGAGAGAAAGAUUGGCAUUUUAGAGGAUCAUGUUAAACAGCUUGAGUUGAAGAUUGAUCCAUGCAAGCUUGUCGAAGAAUCUUUAAACAAAUUCGUCGAACAGUAUUUGGGUACAGAUGUUAUUUACCUGAUCGGAGGCUUUGAUGGGUACUCCUGGUUAUCAUCCCUGGAUUCCUUUUCACCAUCACUUGAUAUAAUAACACCUCUAAAGUCGAUGAGCUCUCCUCGUUCAUAUGCAUCUUCUGUUGCAUUAGAUGGUAAUCUUUUUGUGUUUGGUGGCAGAAGUGGGAAUUCAUGGUUUGAUACAGUUGAAUGUUAUAACCGAAGGCACGACAAGUGGAUUUCUUGUCCUUCAAUGCUACGUAAGAAAGGUAGUCUGUCUGGAGCUACGUUGAAUGGCAAAAUAUUUGCUAUUGGUGGAGGAGAUGAUGUAGAAUGUUUGCCAGAUGUUGAAACUUUUGAUCCAGCAAGUGGAAAGUGGAUUGCAAACCGGCCAAUGUUUUAUAAGCGAUUUGCUUCAACUGCAGCAGAACUCAAAGGUGCAAUAUAUGCUGUAGGUGGCUAUGAUGGUUAUCAGUACCUGAGAUCUGCUGAAAAAUAUGAUCCACGUGAAGGUCGCUGGACACAUCUUCCAGAUAUGAGAGUGAGCAGAGGGGGUCAUGUGUUGGCAACACUUAAUGAGAAACUAUACUGCAUCGGGGGAUAUGAUUGUCAAAAGAUGGUUUCUAGCGUUGAAAUAUUCGAUCCUCGUCUGAAUACUUGGAUGAUGGGCGACCCGAUGAGAUUUUCCAGAGGGUAUGGUGCAGCUGUAGUCCUUGGCAAUUCACUGUAUGCUAUAGGUGGCAUCGAUGACGAUUCAGAGAUAAACACUGUAGAAUGUUAUAGAGAAAGGGUAGGCUGGAGUAGCAGUGGCUGGAAAGCCAUUGGAAAGAGGAGCUUUUUUUCAGCUGUUGUGCUCUAAGCGUCGUCGUGAUCGAGAAGUGCUCAUGCUGUGUUCUUUUGUAAAUAUACCAAUCUUCAGUUUAGGAAGUACUAUGUGAAAGAUGGAGGUCCUAGGCUUGCUUUUAUGGGAGAUGCAGAUAUUGGGAGAUGUUGUAUAUAUGCAGUCUUUUGAUACACAGAAACAGUUGACUGCAAGUUUUGUACCAUACAAUGCUUGUGUGUGUUACCAGCUUGUGGAUUCUCCAGUGUUUGAAUUAUGAACCUUAUGCUUAUACCUACCGUAGUCGCUCAGAAUGCAGUUCUUUUCUUCCCCCUCUUGUGGGCAUCCAAGUGGGCUUCUAGAUAUUACCAGGGCCAAAAUCGAACCAAAGACGGUGGGAGCCAUAUUAGAACCUCCCAACCAUCCGGAUCACCCGUGGUGGAUGCAAGUGACGUUUAUAAAAACAAAUGAAAGUUUUGUUCCGCAUCAAACCUACUUUCCUUAGGUGUAUUUUAAUUUGUAACUAAUUUCAUCCUUUUUAGGAACUUGGUGAUUAACACAAGGCUCAAGUCCAUUUUGUGUGAGAGAAUGCAGCAAGUGGAGUAUAUAUGUCCGGUGCUAGUGAUUUUAGAGUGAAGCUUAUUUCUACCAUUUCCGAUGCUUGGAAUUUGGACAUUACUUCUUGUCAUGAGAUAGAAAGUGUUGACGUACCUCAACAACUAGCCUGGAUUGCGGGGUGUUCUUGAUGACAUACAUGUUUAGUCUCGUUUCCGGUCAACCAAUUUCAAUUGCCCAAAAGGAUUGUGCAAGACAUAGAGCGCGUAUCGUUGCUCUAUUUAUAUCUGAAGGAUAUUAACGUGAUCCUCAAGACCAAUUUCCCGGAUGCUAGAUGGCAAAUAUAUGUUUGUCAUUAUGAAUAUAUGUUUGGAAAUUGAGUUGUAAAAUAUUUGUAUAAAUAUAUGUUUGUCAGUAUGAAUAUAUGUUUGGCAGUAUGAAA
RNA transcript from Asparagus officinalis (garden asparagus), 3336 nucleotides. RefSeq lists it as uncharacterized. The transcript has 16 exons. The record is from RefSeq and is a predicted model, not a curated record. Lineage: Eukaryota; Viridiplantae; Streptophyta; Magnoliopsida; Asparagales; Asparagaceae.